GCGCGGACUUCGGUCUGGCGGCGAGUGGCGAACGGGUGAGUAAUACAUCGGAACGUGUCCUGUAGUGGGGGAUAGCCCGGCGAAAGCCGGAUUAAUACCGCAUACGCUCUACGGAGGAAAGGGGGGGAUCUUAGGACCUCUCGCUACAGGGGCGGCCGAUGGCAGAUUAGCUAGUUGGUGGGGUAAAGGCCUACCAAGGCGACGAUCUGUAGCUGGUCUGAGAGGACGACCAGCCACACUGGGACUGAGACACGGCCCAGACUCCUACGGGAGGCAGCAGUGGGGAAUUUUGGACAAUGGGCGCAAGCCUGAUCCAGCAAUGCCGCGUGUGUGAAGAAGGCCUUCGGGUUGUAAAGCACUUUUGUCCGGAAAGAAAUCCUUUGAGUUAAUACCUCGGGGGGAUGACGGUACCGGAAGAAUAAGCACCGGCUAACUACGUGCCAGCAGCCGCGGUAAUACGUAGGGUGCAAGCGUUAAUCGGAAUUACUGGGCGUAAAGCGUGCGCAGGCGGUUCGCUAAGACAGAUGUGAAAUCCCCGGGCUUAACCUGGGAACUGCAUUUGUGACUGGCGGGCUAGAGUAUGGCAGAGGGGGGUAGAAUUCCACGUGUAGCAGUGAAAUGCGUAGAGAUGUGGAGGAAUACCGAUGGCGAAGGCAGCCCCCUGGGCCAAUACUGACGCUCAUGCACGAAAGCGUG
This 696-nucleotide ribosomal RNA is filed under the name uncultured Burkholderia sp. RNAcentral's name for it is "bacterial SSU rRNA". It matches the Rfam family "Bacterial small subunit ribosomal RNA", at positions 71 to 763 of the family's 1533-position model. Lineage: Bacteria; Pseudomonadati; Pseudomonadota; Betaproteobacteria; Burkholderiales; Burkholderiaceae. The record is from RNAcentral.